RNAcentral lists this ribosomal RNA (406 nucleotides) under uncultured bacterium. Its description in RNAcentral is "partial 16S ribosomal RNA". It matches the Rfam family "Bacterial small subunit ribosomal RNA", at positions 30 to 526 of the family's 1533-position model. The record is from RNAcentral.
AUUGAACGCUGGCGGCAGGCCUAACACAUGCAAGUCGAACGAGUGGCGGACGGGUGAGUAAUGUCUGGGAAACUGCCUGAUGGAGGGGGAUAACUACUGGAAACGGUAGCUAAUACCGCAUACAAUCAGAUGUGCCCAGAUGGGAUUAGCUAGUUGGUGGGGUAACGGCUCACAAAGGCUAAGAUCCCUAGCUGGUCUGAGAGGAUGAACCGCCCCACUGGACCUGAGCCCCGUUCCGGCAUCCUACGGUAUGCAGCAGUGGGUAAUAUUGCACAAUGGGCGCAAGCCUGAUGCAGCCAUGCCGCGUUUAUGAAGAAGGCCUUCUGGUUGUAAAGUACUUUCAGCGGGGAGGCGUUACCCGCAGAAGAAGCACCGGCUAACUCCGUGCCAGCAGCCGCGGUAAUAC